RNAcentral lists this ribosomal RNA (512 nucleotides) under uncultured bacterium. Its description in RNAcentral is "bacterial SSU rRNA". It matches the Rfam family "Bacterial small subunit ribosomal RNA", at positions 15 to 518 of the family's 1533-position model. The record is from RNAcentral.
GAUCUGGCUCAGGAUGAACGCUAGCGACAGGCUAACACAUGCAAGUCGAGGGGCAGCAUAAAAGUAGCAAUACGUUGGUGGCGACCGGCGCACGGGUGAGUAACGCGUAUGCAACCUACCUAUCGAGACGGGGAAUAACCCGGCGAAAGUCGGACUAAUACCGCAUAAAACAGGGGCACCGCAUGGUGAUAUUUGUUAAAGAAAUUCGCUGAUAGAUGGGCAUGCGUUCCAUUAGGUAGUUGGUGAGGUAACGGCUCACCAAGCCGACGAUGGAUAGGGGAACUGAGAGGUUGGUCCCCCACACUGGUACUGAGACACGGACCAGACUCCUACGGGAGGCAGCAGUGAGGAAUAUUGGUCAAUGGGCGGGAGCCUGAACCGGCCAAGUCGCCGUGAAGGAAGAAGGAUCUAUGGUUCGUAAACUUCUUUUGCAGGGGAAUAAAGUGCAGGACGUGUCCUGUUUUGUAUGUACCCUGAGAAUAAGGAUCGGCUAACUCCGUGCCAGCCGCCGC